GAUGAAGAACGUAGCGAAAUGCGAUAAGUAAUGUGAAUUGCAUAAUUCAGUGAAUCAUCGAAUCUUUGAACGCACAUUGCGCCCGCCAGUAUUCUGGCGGGCAUGCCUGUUCGAGCGUCAUUUCAACCAUCAAGCCCCCGGCUUGUGUUGGGGACCUGCGGCUGCCGCAGGCCCUGAAAAGCAGUGGCGGGCUCGCUGUCACACCGAGCGUAGUAGCAUACAUCUCGCUCUGGGCGUGCUGCGGGUUCCGGCCGUUAAACCACCUUCAUAACCCAAGGUUGACCUCGGAUCAGGUAGGAAGACCCGCUGAACUUAAGCAUAUCAAUAAGCGGAGGA
This 336-nucleotide unclassified non-coding RNA is filed under the name soil metagenome. RNAcentral describes it as "partial contains 5.8S ribosomal RNA, internal transcribed spacer 2, and large subunit ribosomal RNA". The stretch from base 1 to 120 matches the Rfam family "5.8S ribosomal RNA", at positions 35 to 154 of the family's 154-position model. The record is from RNAcentral.